GAACUGAGAAAGAGAACCGCCCCGCCUUGCAUUUAUCUGUGCACACGCCGAGCCUCGAAGGGCCCCGCAUCUCCACCAACCGCGGAGCGCGAGGACCAGCCCGCGAUCCGUCUGGGACAAAGACAUAUCCCAUCAACAGUGGCCUCGCCCUCUGUGCCCAGGCUGAGCUCAAAGACGUCCGGAAACCCAAGAGGCAGCCAGGGGGCGCUGCAUCGUUCUAGUUGCCUAGGUGUUUCCAGAUUCUGGUUCAGCCCUGGCAGGCAGCCCUCUGUCUCCCUGGGCUCCCUCUCCAUACAGUACAUACUGUAUGGACAAUGGCAUCUAAUAUGUACUAGCAGAUUACAAUGGGUUUUGGUAUCUAUUUUGGCACUUAUGGCUUAUCCUGCCUCCUGAGUCCUUAGAAAACUUCAUAGACUCCUUUUUCUUAUUCAUUUUUGAAAAUUACUCAUUGGUGUAAUUCUCCUUGGAGGAGCCGGUCCCCCUACUUGGAAUCAUAUUUUCCCCCUGAAGCACGUCUCUUUUCGUUAAAUAUCACAUAGUGAAAUCUAUAUUUAAAGGGGAUAGAGAGAUGGCUCAGCAGUUAAGAGCACUAGCAGCUCUCCCAGAGUUCCUGGCUUAGAUUCCCAACACCCACAUGUCUGCUCACAGUUGUCUUUAACUUCAGGUCAGUGGAUGCAAAGCCCUCUUCUGUCUUCCACAGCCAUACAAGAGAUGCACAGAUAACCGUGCAGCCAAAACAGCUACAUGUGUAAAAGAAAAUGAAAGAGAUUUUAGUCUCCAUAAAACCCCCUUUAAAAUGGGGCUUGUGGUACAGGUACAGAGUAGCCCUCACCAUUAGGAGGCAGAUGCCACAGGGUCUCCGUGAGUUCAGGACCUUCCUGCCCUCUAUAUCGAAUCCCUGGUCAGCAGAGCUAAAUAAGGAGAUCCUAGCUCUACCUAAACCACUCCACACAACAAUCCCUUUAACAAAUUCCAACUUUGGGGGCUGGAGGAAUAGCUCAGUGUUUAAGAGCACUGACUGCUCUUACUGCGGUUCUGAGUUCAUGUCUCAGCAACCACAUGGUGGCUCACAACCAUGUGUAAUGGCAUCUGAUGCCCUGUACUGGUGUGUCUGGAGAGCAAUGGUGUACUCAUAUACAUAAAAUAAAUAAAUAAUUCAUAAAACAAUGAA
Molecule: long non-coding RNA, 1171 nt
Organism: Apodemus sylvaticus (European woodmouse)
Lineage: Eukaryota; Metazoa; Chordata; Mammalia; Rodentia; Muridae
Exons: 2
Source: RefSeq, a predicted model, not a curated record